This 253-nucleotide ribosomal RNA is filed under the name uncultured bacterium. RNAcentral's name for it is "partial 16S ribosomal RNA". It matches the Rfam family "Bacterial small subunit ribosomal RNA", at positions 524 to 776 of the family's 1533-position model. The record is from RNAcentral.
UACGAAGGUCCCAAGCGUUGUUCGGAAUUACUGGGCGUAAAGCGUGUGUAGGCGGCGGGGUAAGUCAGAUGUGAAAUCCCGGAGCUCAACUCCGGAACUGCAUCCGAUACUGCCUUGCUAGAGGGCUGGAGGGGGGUCUGGAAUUCUCGGUGUAGCAGUGAAAUGCGUAGAUAUCGAGAGGAACACUCGUGGCGAAGGCGAGACCCUGGACAGAUCCUGACGCUGAGACACGAAGGCUAGGGUAGCGAACGGG